AGCUAAUACUUGCUUUAGCACUCUUGAUUUAUUUCUUGAGUGUGUACUUGUUAAGCCUUAUAAGAAAAGAGUUAUUAACUUAAGGAAUUAUAACAAAGAAGUAACACGUAAUGGAUCAUUCCAUUUUUAGCGUGUAUCAAUCGAGUUUCUGACCUAUCAGCUUUUGACGUUAGGGUAUUGGCCUAACAUGGCUAUGACGGGUAACGGGGAAUUAGAGUUCGAUUCCGGAGAGGGAGCCUGAGAAAUAGCUACCACAUCUAAGGAAGGCAGCAGGCGCGUAAAUUACCCAAUUCUAAAGAAGAGAGGUAGUGACAAGAAAUAACAAUACAAGGCCAAUCUGGCUUUGUAAUUGGAAUGAUGGGAAUUUAAAACCUUCCCAAAAUUCAAUUGGAGGGCAAGUCUGGUGCCAGCAGCCGCGGUAAUUCCAGCUCCAAUAGCGUAUAUUAAAAUUGUUGCAGUUAAAACGCUCGUAGUUGAAUUUCAAAGAAUCGAUAUUUUAAGUAACGCUUCUAGCUACAAAUCCACAUAACUGAUGCCUCCGCGUAUCGACUUUGUGCGCAUUUUAGCUAUUAUGUGUUCUUUUAAUUAAAAUGAUUCUUUUUAAGAUUCAUCUAUUAAAAAUUUGCUUCGGCAUAAUUUUUUUUGAUGAUCUUGUUACUUUGAGUAAAUUAGAGUGUUCAAAGCAAACAGAUAUAGCAUUUGUGCGUUUGAAUACUGCAGCAUGGAAUAACAAAAUUGAACAAGUCAGAAUUUUUUUGUUCUUUUUUCUUAUUUUGGCUUAGUUACGAUUAAUAGGAGUAGCUUGGGGGCAUUUGUAUUCAGAUGUCAGAGGUGGAAUUCUUGGAUUUUCUGGAGACAAACAACUGCGAAAGCAUUUGCCUAAAAUACUUCCAUUAAUCAAGAACGAAAGUUAAGGGAGUGAAGACGAUCAGAUACCGUCGUAAUCUUAACCAUAAACUAUGCCGACUAGGCUUUGGAUGAAAGAUUUUAAAAUAAGAGUUUU
This 1003-nucleotide ribosomal RNA is filed under the name Plasmodium knowlesi. RNAcentral's name for it is "SSU rRNA". It matches the Rfam family "Eukaryotic small subunit ribosomal RNA", at positions 162 to 1078 of the family's 1831-position model. The record is from RNAcentral. Lineage: Eukaryota; Apicomplexa; Aconoidasida; Haemosporida; Plasmodiidae.